GGUCCCGUAGCUUAGUCGGUUAAAGCGUCAAGCUUAUAUCUUGGCGAUCGCGAGUUCGAUCCUCGCCGGGACCA
Molecule: transfer RNA, 74 nt
Filed under: Aspergillus nidulans
Lineage: Eukaryota; Fungi; Ascomycota; Eurotiomycetes; Eurotiales; Aspergillaceae
Also listed under: 1 other name
Description: tRNA-Ile
Rfam family: tRNA
About the family: Transfer RNA (tRNA) molecules are approximately 80 nucleotides in length. Their secondary structure includes four short double-helical elements and three loops (D, anti-codon, and T loops).
Source: RNAcentral